UCUGGUAGUUAUGGCGAGAAGGUCACACCCGUUCCCAUCCCGAACACGGUAGUUAAGCUUCUCUGCGCCAAUGGUAGUUGGGGGCUUCCCCCUGCGA
RNAcentral lists this ribosomal RNA (97 nucleotides) under Listeria monocytogenes. The record is from RNAcentral. Lineage: Bacteria; Bacillati; Bacillota; Bacilli; Caryophanales; Listeriaceae.